GCCCGAAUGGUGGAACUGGUAGACACGCCGGACUUAAAAUCCUGUGCACUUAUGUGCGUGUCGGUUCGACUCCGACUUCGGGUA
Molecule: transfer RNA, 84 nt
Filed under: Saprospiraceae bacterium
Lineage: Bacteria; Pseudomonadati; Bacteroidota; Saprospiria; Saprospirales; Saprospiraceae
Description: tRNA-Leu
Rfam family: tRNA
About the family: Transfer RNA (tRNA) molecules are approximately 80 nucleotides in length. Their secondary structure includes four short double-helical elements and three loops (D, anti-codon, and T loops). Further hydrogen bonds mediate the characteristic L-shaped molecular structure. tRNAs have two regions of fundamental functional importance: the anti-codon, which is responsible for specific mRNA codon recognition, and the 3' end, to which the tRNAs corresponding amino acid is attached (by aminoacyl-tRNA synthetases). tRNAs cope with the degeneracy of the genetic code in two manners: having more than one tRNA (with a specific anti-codon) for a particular amino acid; and 'wobble' base-pairing, i.e. permitting non-standard base-pairing at the 3rd anti-codon position.
Source: RNAcentral